This 533-nucleotide ribosomal RNA is filed under the name uncultured archaeon. Its description in RNAcentral is "bacterial SSU rRNA". It matches the Rfam family "Archaeal small subunit ribosomal RNA", at positions 345 to 879 of the family's 1478-position model. The record is from RNAcentral.
AACCUUUGCAAUGUGCGCAAGCACGACAAGGUUAAUCCGAGUGUUUCCUGCUAAAGGAAUCUUUUGUUAGUUGUAAAACCACUGACGAAUAAGGGGUGGGCAAGUUCUGGUGUCAGCCGCCGCGGUAAAACCAGCACCUCAAGUGGUCAGGAGGAUUAUUGGGCCUAAAGCAUCCGUAGCCUGUUCUAUAAGUUUCCGGUUAAAUCCAUUAGCUCAACUAAUGGGCUGCCGAAAAUACUGUAGAACUAGGGAGUGGGAGAGGUAGACGGUAUUCGGUAGGAAGGGGUAAAAUCCUUUGAUCUAUUGAGGACCACCUGUGGCGAAGGCGGUCUACCAGAACACGUUCGACGGUGAGGGAUGAAAGCUGGGGGAGCAAACCGGAUUAGAUACCCGGGUAGUCCCAGCUGUAAACGAUGCAGACUCGGUGAUGCCCUGGCUUGUGGCCAGUGCAGUGCCGCAGGGAAGCCGUUAAGUUUGCCGCCUGGGAAGUACGUACGCAAGUAUGAAACUUAAAGGAAUUGGCGGGGGAGCAC